GUGGAUUAGAUACCCUGGUAGUCCACGCCGUAAACGAUGGAUACUAGCUGUUGGAGGUAUCGACCCCUUCAGUAGCGAAGCUAACGCGUUAAGUAUCCCGCCUGUGGAGUACGGUCGCAAGACUAAAACAUAAAGGAAUUGACGGGGACCCGCACAAGCGGUGGAGCGUGUUCUUUAAUUCGAUGAUAAACGAAGAACCUUACCAGGGCUUGACAUCCCUUGAAUUUUGUCGAAAGACGAGAGUGCUUUAUUGAGCAAGGUGACAGGUGUUGCACGGUCGUCGCCAGCU
This 289-nucleotide ribosomal RNA is filed under the name uncultured bacterium. Its description in RNAcentral is "partial 16S ribosomal RNA". It matches the Rfam family "Bacterial small subunit ribosomal RNA", at positions 773 to 1060 of the family's 1533-position model. The record is from RNAcentral.